GAGAAAGAAAUUGUUUUUGUGUGAAUUAGGAAUUUAGUUUAUGUAGUGGGAGAGAGAUUUAUAAAAACGAUAGAGAAGAGUACUGUAGGGGAAAUUGGGAGAUUAGGCUAUUUUGGAGAAGUAAAUGGGGUUGUACCUUUUGUAUUAGGGUUUAACAAGAGUUUGAAAGGUUUUUAUGAUCCCGAAGAAUUUUGAGCUAUUGGAAGGGAGUUUAAUCGUUUUAGAGAUUAAAUACACUUUUUUAUAGAGAUGAAAUUUUAUUCGAAAGGUUGGAUAUCUGGUUAGAUUGAGGAAAUUAUAUAUUUCGCUAUGGGGGUAGUAAUUGGAUAGAUCUUAUAGGUUUGGUUUCUUGGGAUAAGCUGGGGGAUAAUCUAUAUAAGGAUGUAUUUGGAUGAAGAAGGUUUAGAAAUUACUUUUGUUUUGUAAUAAAAGAUUUUAUUGUUUGUGUUGAAUUGGAUUGUUAAGUUUCUUGAUUAAUUUUUCUUUAGGAGAGAAAAUGUUGGGAUUAGUAUAAGUUUGUUAGUUUAGGAGUUUUUAACUUUAUUGAGGUUAGGAGAAAAUUAAGGAAGAAUUCGGCAAAGUGGAUUUUUGAAUGUUUAUCAAAAACAUUGUAUUUUGUGGUGAUGAAAUAUAUAACCUGCUCAAUGGGUAUUAUAAAUUGCUGUGGUAUUUUGACUAUACGAAGGUAUUGAAAUAAGGCUUUAAUUGGGUGCUAAGAGAAUGGUUUAACAAAGAUUAGCUUUUUUCUUAUUUAAAUUAGAAGUUAAUUUGAAAGUGAAGAAGCUUUUAUAAGAAUUUGGGACAAGAAGACCCUAUGAAUUUUUUCGGAGGUUAUUUUUUGUAUUUGUUUGGAAAAUGGAAUUUGAGUAAUUUUUGAUUGAUUGGGGCGAUUUUUAAAUUUAGGUAACUUUAAAAGUGUGUAAUUAGAACCAAAAAUUUUGGUCUUUUGAAUAAAAUACUCUAGGGAUAACAGCGUUAUUAUUUUGGAUAGUUCAUAUAGAUAAAGUAGUUUGCGACCUCGAUGUUGGAUUAGGAUACUUAAGUAAUGAAGGAAUUACAUUAAGAAGUUUGCUCAACUUUUAAAAUCCUACAUGAUCUGAGUUCAGACCGGCGUGAGCCAGGUUGGUUUCUAUCUAAAUUAAAGUGUGAUUUUGUUAGUACGAAAGGAAUACGGAGUCGAAAUUAUUUUGUAGAUUUUUGGCAUGUGAUGUUAACUUU
RNAcentral lists this ribosomal RNA (1218 nucleotides) under Ornithodoros savignyi. RNAcentral's name for it is "16S ribosomal RNA". The stretch from base 796 to 1138 matches the Rfam family "Archaeal large subunit ribosomal RNA", at positions 2151 to 2715 of the family's 2987-position model. The record is from RNAcentral. Lineage: Eukaryota; Metazoa; Arthropoda; Arachnida; Ixodida; Argasidae.